Molecule: long non-coding RNA, 434 nt
Organism: Haliotis rubra (blacklip abalone)
Lineage: Eukaryota; Metazoa; Mollusca; Gastropoda; Lepetellida; Haliotidae
Exons: 3
Source: RefSeq, a predicted model, not a curated record
UGUGUUGGAGUUUGUUGACGUUCAAGGGAGAUAAUUUCAAAUAACACCUUCCGGUUCUUUCUGUUCGACCUUGUAACAACGGUCGUAGUCAUGCCGGGCGUUGAAAUGUUCACGAGGUUUUUAGGCCCUAGAUACUUUCAGAUGGCCAAAAAUUGGACCCCUACUUUAGGAGCCUUUGGUGCAACAGCGGCCAUUACAGGACUCUAUAUCUCUGACUGGAAGGCUGUUCUCAAGUAUGUCCCUUACUACGGUGACAAGUACCCGAAAGAGCCACCACAGUGAACAUGCAAAUUAGUGAAUAUGUGUGCCUGUUAUAGAAGAAAAUCCCACUUGCAGUUUGAAUGUAUGACAGACAGACGCUUGUCAUUUAUCCAUCAUUGGGCGCUGUAUAGAAUCAGUGGUUCAAUUGAAUCAAUAAAUAAUGUUGUAUUUCA